RNAcentral lists this ribosomal RNA (755 nucleotides) under Staphylococcus epidermidis. RNAcentral describes it as "bacterial SSU rRNA". It matches the Rfam family "Bacterial small subunit ribosomal RNA", at positions 49 to 786 of the family's 1533-position model. Lineage: Bacteria; Bacillati; Bacillota; Bacilli; Caryophanales; Staphylococcaceae. The record is from RNAcentral.
CUAUACAUGCAAGUCGAGCGAACAGACGAGGAGCUUGCUCCUCUGACGUUAGCGGCGGACGGGUGAGUAACACGUGGAUAACCUACCUAUAAGACUGGGAUAACUUCGGGAAACCGGAGCUAAUACCGGAUAAUAUAUUGAACCGCAUGGUUCAAUAGUGAAAGACGGUUUUGCUGUCACUUAUAGAUGGAUCCGCGCCGCAUUAGCUAGUUGGUAAGGUAACGGCUUACCAAGGCAACGAUGCGUAGCCGACCUGAGAGGGUGAUCGGCCACACUGGAACUGAGACACGGUCCAGACUCCUACGGGAGGCAGCAGUAGGGAAUCUUCCGCAAUGGGCGAAAGCCUGACGGAGCAACGCCGCGUGAGUGAUGAAGGUCUUCGGAUCGUAAAACUCUGUUAUUAGGGAAGAACAAAUGUGUAAGUAACUAUGCACGUCUUGACGGUACCUAAUCAGAAAGCCACGGCUAACUACGUGCCAGCAGCCGCGGUAAUACGUAGGUGGCAAGCGUUAUCCGGAAUUAUUGGGCGUAAAGCGCGCGUAGGCGGUUUUUUAAGUCUGAUGUGAAAGCCCACGGCUCAACCGUGGAGGGUCAUUGGAAACUGGAAAACUUGAGUGCAGAAGAGGAAAGUGGAAUUCCAUGUGUAGCGGUGAAAUGCGCAGAGAUAUGGAGGAACACCAGUGGCGAAGGCGACUUUCUGGUCUGUAACUGACGCUGAUGUGCGAAAGCGUGGGGAUCAAACAGGAUUAGAUACC